GGAUAGCUCAGUUGGUAGAGCACAAGACUCUCAAUCUUGGAGCCGUGGGUUCUAGCUCCACGAUGGACA
Podarcis lilfordi (Lilford's wall lizard) is the source of this 69-nucleotide non-coding RNA. The record is from the annotation of a GenBank genome assembly. NCBI's taxonomy places the organism in Eukaryota, Metazoa, Chordata, Lepidosauria, Squamata, Lacertidae.